GAAACUUUCAGUGUUAAGAAGCCAUGUGAUUUCCUGGAACAACUUCCUCAAAAAUGAAAAGUUUCUGGAAGUAUGGAAGGGGAAGCAAAGAACAACAUUUUGGUUUUUCUUACUGUAAACUCCCAACAGUUUCAGAGGAGAAGAAAUACAUUUCCACUCUGUGUAUGUGAGACACAGUAUAUCCCCAAACUAAUGCGUAUAUGUAAUAUACAGGGAUUGAGAUUCUCUUUUAAUUACACCAAAUCUGGUGCCUGCAAACAAUUUGCCACCUUUCUGUUUAGGAAAGAAGUUUCCUGAGGGUGCACAGAAAUGGAAGAGUACCCAGUUAACAUUCCAGCUGCAAGUUAUUGUCAUGUAAUAAAAAGAUUCUAAAUGUAGAAUACAGUAUAACUUCUUUGUUUAGAUUAUAAAAAGAAGUGGAAAUUAGUAAGACCAAUAUUCUAGUCAUAAACAUACAACCUAAAUAAAUGUUGUUUGGUUAGUUGUGAGGGAAAGAAUCUUUUAGGAGUUGGCUCUCCCCCUAUAACAGCAGCAUGAAAUAAAGAAUGAUGAUAAUCAUGUUGAUGAUGUUGAUAAAUAUAGCGCUAUCUAUGUGUAUUGCACUUUGCAAAGUAUGACAGAACAGAUCCUUGUCCCAGGAGAUUUACAAUCUAUAAAGCAAUGCAAGCAAGACAACAAAGGAAGGAUCAUACAUUAUGAGCAAGGCAUUUUCCACACUGAAACCAGGCCUGAAUCUCAAUUGAAAUGGAUCUAGAAAAUCUGUCUCCUCCAAAACAACCUGGAUCUGGUUGGUACCAAACCACUCAAGCAGCAAAUGUCCCCUUUCUGGGCAAGGUUCUUAUCUAAAAUUAUUAAGAACUUCGAGAUCUAGGGAAGGCUUCUUCAGCAGUGGUCUUGCAGCCACCUCCUUCAGGCAGCCUGGUGUAUGGGAAAUCCAUCCAGAAGACAAAAUGUAUAUUGAGGAGUUAGUGAUGAUGAUGAUUUAUUUGUUGAAUUUAUAUAUCGCCCUAUACCGGGAAGUCAUAUGAUUCUAACAUGGUUACCCUUCCUGCCUCUGUUUCUUCCCCCUCCCUCCCAGCCUUUAGUUUUUGAAGGUGUGAGAACAAUCUUUGGUGUCCUAAUCAGUUGGGAGGAGGUGAAGCCCCCCCCACCCCACAGCUGCCUUAAUCAGUCUGGGAGGAUAGUGCUGGAAACCUUCUUUGAUGUUGGAAAUUAUUAAAGUGAGGCAUUGGGAGGAGGUGGCUAUUUAUAACAUUGGUUGGUUUGGGCAGAGUCUUUCAGAAGCUUAUGCACAGACUGGCCUAUGCAAACUGAGACUACCUGGAGGAGUCACUUCAUCGAUUCUUGAGGGCUUCCAAGUGGCAGAGGGAAGGGCAUGCUUGGUAUGUAUAUAUUGCUUGCAGUUUAGAAAUAAAAUCUUCUCACUC
This is a non-coding RNA of Podarcis muralis (Common wall lizard), 1427 nucleotides long. The record is from RefSeq and is a predicted model, not a curated record. NCBI's taxonomy places the organism in Eukaryota, Metazoa, Chordata, Lepidosauria, Squamata, Lacertidae.